AUUGAACGCUGGCGGCAUGCCUUACACAUGCAAGUCGAACGGCAGCACGGGAGCAAUCCUGGUGGUGAGUGGCGAACGGGUGAGUAAAGUAUCGGAACGUGCCCAGUCGUGGGGGAUAACGUAGCGAAAGUUACGCUAAUACCGCAUACGAUCUAUGGAUGAAAGCGGGGGAUCGCAAGACCUCGCGCGAUUGGAGCGGCCGAUAUCAGAUUAGGUAGUUGGUGGGGUAAAGGCUCACCAAGCCGACGAUCUGUAGCUAGUCUGAGAGGACGACCAGCCACGCUGGGACUGAGACACGGCCCAGACUCCUACGGGAGGCAGCAGUGGGGAAUUUUGGACAAUGGGCGAAAGCCUGAUCCAGCCAUGCCGCGUGCAGGAUGAAGGCCUUCGGGUUGUAAACUGCUUUUGUACGGAACGAAAAGGUUUGGCCUAAUAAGCUGAGCUCAUGACGGUACCGUAAGAAUAAGCACCGGCUAACUACGUGCCAGCCGCCGCCGUAA
RNAcentral lists this ribosomal RNA (500 nucleotides) under uncultured bacterium. RNAcentral describes it as "partial 16S ribosomal RNA". It matches the Rfam family "Bacterial small subunit ribosomal RNA", at positions 30 to 523 of the family's 1533-position model. The record is from RNAcentral.